GAGUUUGAACCUGGCUCAGGAUGAACGCUGGCGGUGUGCCUAACACAUGCAAGUCGAGCGAAGCGAUUUUGAGGAAGUUUUCGGAUGGAAUCGAAAUUGACUUAGCGGCGGACGGGUGAGUAACACGUGGGUAAUCUGCCUUAUACAGGGGGAUAACAGUUAGAAAUGACUGCUAAUACCGCAUAAGCGCACGGGGACGCAUGUUUCUGUGUGAAAAACUCCGGUAGUAUAAGAUGAGCCCGCGUCUGAUUAGCUGGUUGGUGGGGUAACGGCCUACCAAGGCGACGAUCAGUAGCCGGCCUGAGAGGGUGAACGGCCACAUUGGGACUGAGACACGGCCCAAACUCCUACGGGAGGCAGCAGUGGGGAAUAUUGCACAAUGGGGGAAACCCUGAUGCAGCGACGCCGCGUGAGUGAAGAAGUAUUUCGGUAUGUAAGGCUCUAUCAGCAGGGAAGAAAAAAGACGGUACCUGACUAAGAAGCCCCGGCUAACUACGUGCCAGCAGCCGCGGUAAUACGUAGGGGGCAAGCGUUAUCCGGAUUUACUGGGUGUAAAGGGAGCGUAGACGGCGCGGCAAGUCUGAAGUGAAAGGCAGGGGCUUAACCCCUGAACUGCUUUGGAAACUGCCAUGCUAGAGUGCUGGAGAGGUAAGUGGAAUUCCUAGUGUAGCGGUGAAAUGCGUAGAUAUUAGGAGGAACACCAGUGGCGAAGGCGGCUUACUGGACAGUAACUG
Molecule: ribosomal RNA, 734 nt
Filed under: uncultured bacterium
Lineage: Bacteria
Description: bacterial SSU rRNA
Rfam family: Bacterial small subunit ribosomal RNA
Source: RNAcentral